Molecule: ribosomal RNA, 1489 nt
Filed under: Lactiplantibacillus plantarum
Lineage: Bacteria; Bacillati; Bacillota; Bacilli; Lactobacillales; Lactobacillaceae
Description: bacterial SSU rRNA
Rfam family: Bacterial small subunit ribosomal RNA
Source: RNAcentral
GACGAACGCUGGCGGCGUGCCUAAUACAUGCAAGUCGAACGAACUCUGGUAUUGAUUGGUGCUUGCAUCAUGAUUUACAUUUGAGUGAGUGGCGAACUGGUGAGUAACACGUGGGAAACCUGCCCAGAAGCGGGGGAUAACACCUGGAAACAGAUGCUAAUACCGCAUAACAACUUGGACCGCAUGGUCCGAGUUUGAAAGAUGGCUUCGGCUAUCACUUUUGGAUGGUCCCGCGGCGUAUUAGCUAGAUGGUGGGGUAACGGCUCACCAUGGCAAUGAUACGUAGCCGACCUGAGAGGGUAAUCGGCCACAUUGGGACUGAGACACGGCCCAAACUCCUACGGGAGGCAGCAGUAGGGAAUCUUCCACAAUGGACGAAAGUCUGACGGAGCAACGCCGCGUGAGUGAAGAAGGGUUUCGGCUCGUAAAACUCUGUUGUUAAAGAAGAACAUAUCUGAGAGUAACUGUUCAGGUAUUGACGGUAUUUAACCAGAAAGCCACGGCUAACUACGUGCCAGCAGCCGCGGUAAUACGUAGGUGGCAAGCGUUGUCCGGAUUUAUUGGGCGUAAAGCGAGCGCAGGCGGUUUUUUAAGUCUGAUGUGAAAGCCUUCGGCUCAACCGAAGAAGUGCAUCGGAAACUGGGAAACUUGAGUGCAGAAGAGGACAGUGGAACUCCAUGUGUAGCGGUGAAAUGCGUAGAUAUAUGGAAGAACACCAGUGGCGAAGGCGGCUGUCUGGUCUGUAACUGACGCUGAGGCUCGAAAGUAUGGGUAGCAAACAGGAUUAGAUACCCUGGUAGUCCAUACCGUAAACGAUGAAUGCUAAGUGUUGGAGGGUUUCCGCCCUUCAGUGCUGCAGCUAACGCAUUAAGCAUUCCGCCUGGGGAGUACGGCCGCAAGGCUGAAACUCAAAGGAAUUGACGGGGGCCCGCACAAGCGGUGGAGCAUGUGGUUUAAUUCGAAGCUACGCGAAGAACCUUACCAGGUCUUGGCAUACUAUGCAAAUCUAAGAGAUUAGACGUUCCCUUCGGGGACAUGGAUACAGGUGGUGCAUGGUUGUCGUCAGCUCGUGUCGUGAGAUGUUGGGUUAAGUCCCGCAACGAGCGCAACCCUUAUUAUCAGUUGCCAGCAUUAAGUUGGGCACUCUGGUGAGACUGCCGGUGACAAACCGGAGGAAGGUGGGGAUGACGUCAAAUCAUCAUGCCCCUUAUGACCUGGGCUACACACGUGCUACAAUGGAUGGUACAACGAGUUGCGAACUCGCGAGAGUAAGCUAAUCUCUUAAAGCCAUUCUCAGUUCGGAUUGUAGGCUGCAACUCGCCUACAUGAAGUCGGAAUCGCUAGUAAUCGCGGAUCAGCAUGCCGCGGUGAAUACGUUCCCGGGCCUUGUACACACCGCCCGUCACACCAUGAGAGUUUGUAACACCCAAAGUCGGUGGGGUAACCUUUUAGGAACCAGCCGCCUAAGGUGGGACAGAUGAUUAGGGUG